UUUUCCAAUACUAAGGAAGAGUUGGUGGUCGUUCAGUGAAGGUGGUGGGGCUUAAGGAUCUGUGCAUAAAUAUAUACAAUCCGUCAGCCGCUUUGUCAUCACUGUAUAGAGGACUUUGAUGGUGAGAAGCAAUAUAAACGAGAGUCUAAUUUAAUCAAAGGUUUAGACUCAUAAAUUUCUAAAGGCAGCUUUCUGCAGAACUUUGCAAUUGAUAAAGUAUAAAUAACACUUAAAAAUGGAGAUGUAAACAUUCUUGCAUAACGGUUGCAAAAAUUCUAUUGAAUGUAAUUUAAUGGCCAAGACAAGAAAGUUACGAUGAACAUGUUAAAUUGAGGUGGUGUAAAUUGAUGAAGGGUCUUUUGGUUCACCCUAAGUAUUCAAAACAAUUGAUUAAAAAAAUUUUCGGUUGUUUCUUAAUCAUAAAAGAAUUUGGGAUAUUAUUAAACCUUACUACUUUAUUGUUUUUUUAUUGUAUUUUCCUUAAGAUUAUCCAGACUAUUUUGUGUGUUUUCUCCUUAAAUAAUGAACUAAUUUUUCAUACACAAAACAGCAGACUGAAAAAUAAAUAAUAUUUUUCUAUUAAAUAUCAGGGUUGACCAGGACAUUUCAAUGACAAUGUACGCCUUCACUAUACUAUUGGAAAACGUUAGAACAAUUUCAUCAAUUUAAUGACUUUCUCAUUCAAGCAUUAUAAAU
Molecule: non-coding RNA, 696 nt
Organism: Schizosaccharomyces pombe (fission yeast)
Lineage: Eukaryota; Fungi; Ascomycota; Schizosaccharomycetes; Schizosaccharomycetales; Schizosaccharomycetaceae
Source: the annotation of a GenBank genome assembly